GCACAAGCGGUGGAGCAUGUGGUUAAUUCGAAGCAACGCGAAGAACCUUACCAGGUCUUGACAUCCCGAUGCUAUUUCUAGAGAUAGAAAGUUACUUCGGUACAUCGGUGACAGGUGGUGCAUGGUUGUCGUCAGCUCGUGUCGUGAGAUGUUGGGUUAAGUCCCGCAACGAGCGCAACCCCUAUUGUUAGUUGCCAUCAUUCAGUUGGGCACUCUAGCGAGACUGCCGGUAAUAAACCGGAGGAAGGUGGGGAUGACGUCAAAUCAUCAUGCCCCUUAUGACCUGGGCUACACACGUGCUACAAUGGUUGGUACAACGAGUUGCGAGUCGGUAACGGCGAGCUAAUCUCUUAAAGCCAAUCUCAGUUCGGAUUGUAGGCUGCAACUCGCCUACAUGAAGUCGGAAUCGCUAGUAAUCGCGGAUCAGCACGCCGCGGUCGAAUACGUUCCCGGGCCUU
This 458-nucleotide ribosomal RNA is filed under the name uncultured Streptococcus sp. RNAcentral describes it as "bacterial SSU rRNA". It matches the Rfam family "Bacterial small subunit ribosomal RNA", at positions 923 to 1382 of the family's 1533-position model. The record is from RNAcentral. Lineage: Bacteria; Bacillati; Bacillota; Bacilli; Lactobacillales; Streptococcaceae.